CACAGUGUAGCUUAACACUAAAGCAUCUGGCCUACACCCAGAAGAUUUCACAACAAAUGAACACUUUGA
RNAcentral lists this transfer RNA (69 nucleotides) under Apodemus latronum (Sichuan field mouse). Its description in RNAcentral is "tRNA-Val". It matches the Rfam family "tRNA". From Rfam's summary of the family: Transfer RNA (tRNA) molecules are approximately 80 nucleotides in length. Their secondary structure includes four short double-helical elements and three loops (D, anti-codon, and T loops). Further hydrogen bonds mediate the characteristic L-shaped molecular structure. tRNAs have two regions of fundamental functional importance: the anti-codon, which is responsible for specific mRNA codon recognition, and the 3' end, to which the tRNAs corresponding amino acid is attached (by aminoacyl-tRNA synthetases). tRNAs cope with the degeneracy of the genetic code in two manners: having more than one tRNA (with a specific anti-codon) for a particular amino acid; and 'wobble' base-pairing, i.e. permitting non-standard base-pairing at the 3rd anti-codon position. Lineage: Eukaryota; Metazoa; Chordata; Mammalia; Rodentia; Muridae. The record is from RNAcentral.